Non-coding RNA from Camelina sativa (false flax), 1446 nucleotides. NCBI's taxonomy places the organism in Eukaryota, Viridiplantae, Streptophyta, Magnoliopsida, Brassicales, Brassicaceae. The record is from RefSeq and is a predicted model, not a curated record.
GGAUGAUGGCUUUGACUGAUCCUUGUCACUCUCAUUCAAUGUUGCUCUUAAGGGUAUUGGAUGAUGCUUUUAUCGAUCAGUGAUGGCUUUGAUGGACUCCUUCUUCUCUGUGCUACGUCUUCAUGGGUUUUGUUCUUCCUCUUAAGUCUUAAUACAUCUUUUACUUCUUUUUUUCCUAUAUAAGUGAAUUUUAAUCUCAGUCUCUCUUUUUGAUGCAGAUCGAGGAGGCACCUGGUUUACGGACUGUGUGGGAGGUUCAAAUGGAAAACAUUGUGGGAGGUUUAACUUUCAGAUGUUCUUGAUGUGUACACACACAUUCAGAUGAGAGAUGCUCCACAAAUUCUUUCCUAGACGAGAGGAGAGUUUGUUUUUAAGCUUUGUCCUUUGAUGUAGAUCCUCGAGGCAAUGGUAUUACUGUACAGGAGGUGGUGUGUUGGAAGUGAAUCAUGGAGGCUCCACCCGCUUCUGAAUUGAAUCGUCGUCACAGUCCAGGCACUAGGAUUGCUUUGUUGAAUUGAACUUUUAUCUUCUCGUCUAGAAUCAGAGGUUCUAUAGGAGAAAAGCUUCUAGCUAGCUCUACCAAUAUGAUUCAUACAAGUCAUAGAAGAGAGAACGUUGAACCAUUAUAAUGGCGACAAGAGAGCAAACAAGUCAGAGAGCGAGAGGUGUCUCAACAAGUUCGUGUUCUACUAAAUCCUCUGCUUCAUCAUUUGUCUGAGUGAUGAGUUAAGAUAUGAGUACUAAAUAAUCAUUUUUUGUUCGAUUUGAGGUUGAUCAAAAGUUGUCUGAUGAUGAAUCCAUAUGCACAAUGGCCAGAAAACUAGUCACACAGUUCUCUCAAGCCAAAGGCAAUCAUCAAAAAAGGGAGCUUUUUGGCUGCUCCAGCUUUGCCUGCACUGCGCCAUCAAAGAAGUUACACUACCACAUCUGCCAAAUUUUCAGCUUCGGUCCCUAGAAUCAGAUCAAGGAGAUGAUCACUCAAAAGUAGAGACUGUGUGAAACUUCCAUGUAUGAUAUACUAUGAGAAACGUCCAAGAAAAAGAAGACCUCAAGGUUUUGGGAAAAUCGUCAAUCACUAUUGUUUAAGGUCAGUUACUUUGAACCCUUGUUAUUGUUUCAUGAUAAAAAGCCGUGUUAGAACCAGUAGCCUACAACACAAAUGAACGCAAGCUCAAGAAAUAACAAGGUAACACCCAAAUUCAAAAAUACCCUUCAUCUAAGAGAGAGAGUAUCAUGACUUUAUAACAGACUCAUAGCUUAAAUGAAACAGUUUGACUAAUCUGCAAGGAUCUCAUUACUUACUGUUGCAGGAAUUUCAUAUAUUCAAACAAUGGCAAGGGCUACAAUAGCUUCAAAAAGUGUGUAAGCAGAUUUGAAGCUUCUUUUCACCCAUAUACAAGUUGUAUCUACGCAUAAAACACUUUAUAUUUCAUUCCAUCUGAUCUU